UGAGGAAUAUUGGUCAAUGGACGAGAGUCUGAACCAGCCAAGUAGCGUGAAGGAUGACUGCCCUAUGGGUUGUAAACUUCUUUUAUACGGGAAUAAAGUGAGGUACGUGUGCCUUUUUGUAUGUACCGUAUGAAUAAGGAUCGGCUAACUCCGUGCCAGCAGCCGCGGUAAUACGGAGGAUCCGAGCGUUAUCCGGAUUUAUUGGGUUUAAAGGGAGCGUAGGCGGACGCUUAAGUCAGUUGUGAAAGUUUGCGGCUCAACCGUAAAAUUGCAAUUGAUACUGGCAGUCUUGAGUACAGUUGAGGUAGGCGGAAUUCGUGGUGUAGCGGUGAAAUGCUUAGAUAUCACGAAGAACUCCGAUUGCGAAGGCAGCUUACUAACCUGUAACUGACAUUGAUGCUCGAAAGUGUGGGUAUCAAACAGGAUUAGAUACCCUGGUAGUCCACACGGUAAACGAUGAAUACUCGCUGUAGGCGAUAUACAGUCUGCGGCCAAGCGAAAGCAUUAAGUAUUCCACCUGGGGAGUACGCCGGCAACGGUGAAACUCAAAGGAAUUGACGGGGGCCCGCACAAGCGGAGGAACAUGUGGUUUAAUUCGAUGAUACGCGAGGAACCUUACCCGGGCUUAAAUUGCAACCGAAUAUGGCGGAAACGCUAUAGCUAGCAAUAGCGGUUGUGAAGGUGCUGCAUGGUUGUCGUCAGCUCGUGCCGUGAGGUGUCGGCUUAAGUGCCAUAACGAGCGCAACCCUUGCCGAUAGUUACUAACAGGUUAUGCUGAGGACUCUGUCGGGACUGCCAUCGUAAGAUGUGAGGAAGGUGGGGAUGACGUCAAAUCAGCACGGCCCUUACGUCCGGGGCUACACACGUGUUACAAUGGGGGGUACAGAGGGCUGCUACCACGCAAGUGGAUGCCAAUCCCAAAAACCUCUCUCAGUUCGGAUUGAAGUCUGCAACCCGACUUCAUGAAGCUGGAUUCGCUAGUAAUCGCGCAUCAGCCACGGCGCGGUGAAUACGUUCCC
RNAcentral lists this ribosomal RNA (1019 nucleotides) under uncultured organism. RNAcentral describes it as "bacterial SSU rRNA". It matches the Rfam family "Bacterial small subunit ribosomal RNA", at positions 355 to 1375 of the family's 1533-position model. The record is from RNAcentral.